GGCAUCGCCAAAGAGGACGCCGCCCAGGGCAUCGCUAACGAGGCCGCCGACAAGGGCAUCGCCAACGAGGAUGCCGCCCACGGCAUCGCCAACGAGGACGCCGCCCACGGCAUCGCCAGCGAGGACGCCGCCCACGGCAUCGCCAGCGAGGACGCCGCCCACGGCAUCGCCAGCGAGGACGCCGCCCAGGGCAUCGCCAACGAGGACGCCAUCCAGGGCAUCGCCAAGGAGUACGCCGUCCACGGCAUCGCCAACGAGGACGCCGCCCAGGGCAUCGCCAACGAGGACGCCGCCCAGGGCAUCGCCAACGAGGACGCCGCCCAGGGCAUCGCCAAGGAGGACGCCGCCCAGGGCAUCGCCAAGGAGGACGCCGCCCAGGGCAUCGCCAACGAGGGCGCCGCCCAGGGCAUCGCCAAAGAGGACGCCGCCCACGGCAUCGCCAACGAGGACGCCGCCCAGGGCAUCGCCAACGAGGACGCCGCCCACGGAAUCGCCAGUGAGGACGCCGCCCACGGCAUCGCCAGCGAGGACGCCGUCCAGGGCAUCGACAAGGAGGAUGCCGCCCAGGGCAUCGCCAACGAGGACGCCGCCCAGGGCAUCGCCAACGAGGACGCCGCCCAGGGCAUCGCCAAAGAGGACGCCGCCCACGGCAUCGCCAACGAGCUGUAUACGACAUCGCUAACGAGGACACCCUACAAGCCGUCGCUAACAAGUACACUGUACACAACAUCGCUAAUGAGGGCACUGUACAAGACAUCACCAAUGAGGGCGCUUUAUACGACAUUGCUAAUGGCACCGACAAGGCACGCUAACGUGGACGCUGUACACGACAUUGCUAAUGAGGACAGCGUAUAAGACAUCGCUAGUAACUAUCGCAAGAACAAAAAACCAAACACCGCAUAUUCUCACUCAUAGAUGGGAAUUGAACAAUGAGAUCACAUGGACACAGGAAGGGGAAUAUCACACUCUGGGGACUGUUGUGGGGUUGGGGGGGGAGGGAUAGCAUCGGGAGAUAUACCUAAUGCUAGAUGAUGAGUUAGUGGGUGCAGCGCACCAGCACGGCACAUGUAUACAUAUGUAACUAACCUGCACAAUGUGCACAUGUACCCUAAAACUUAAAGUAUAUAUAUAAAAAAAAAGACAUCGCUAGUGAGCACGCUGUAUACGACAUCGCUAAUGAGGACACCAUACAAGGCAUCGCUAACGAUGACGCUGUACACAACAUCACUAAUGAUGACACCGUAUAAGACAUCGCUAAUUAUGACGCUGUAUACGACAUCGCUAAUGACACCGUACAAGGCACGCUAACGAGGAUGCUGUACACGACAUCACUAAUGAGGACAGUGUACAAGCCAUCACUAAUGAGGACACUGUAUAUGGCAUCGCUAACGAGGACACUGUACAAGCCAUUGCUAACGAGGACGCUGUACACAACAUCGCUAAUGAGGACACCAUAUAAGACAUCACCAAUGAGGAUGCUGUAUAUGACAUCGCUAAUGGCACCCACAAGGCAUGCUAACGAGGACGCUGUAGACGACAUUGCUUAUAAGGACACCGUACAAGACAUCGCUAACGAGGACGCUGUAUACGACAUCGCUAAUGAGGACGUUGUAUAUGACAUCGCUAAUGAGGAUGCUUUACAAGACAUAGCUAAUGAGGUUGCUGUAUAUGACAUCGCUAAUGAGGACAUUGUAUAUGACAUCGCUAAUGAGGACGCUCUAUACGACAUCACUAAUGAGGACGCUGUAUACAACAUCGCUAAUGAGGACGCUGUAUAUGGCAUCGCUAAUGAGGAUGCUGUAUACGAAUUCGCUAAUAAGGACGCUGUAUAUGACAUUGCUAAUGAGGACACUGUACAAGACAUCUGUAAAAAAGAAGAUGCUGCCAAUGAGCCAUUGACACUGGAGAAUGAUACGUACCCUGAAAUAACUCACUUCCUGAGGAAAAAGCGCCAUCUCUAGGAUUUGAUUGUGGAGAGCAUAUCUGAUGAUGGGGAUUUGUAGGACUUUAAAAAGCACUCAUGUUUCCAUCCUCACUGUUGACUCCUGGCUUAAAGGGAUCUCCCGGGGUGAGUGAGGAGGCGGGAUCGGACCCUGGCAGUCUGACGGCAGCACCUGUGUUCCUCUGCACUGGGCCGUGGAUGACAUUACAUACCUUGCCACUCCCACGGUCCUGUGUGUUCCGGAUAUUUUAAAAUAAUGGCUAUAAGGUUGAGCACUUCAGGAUACGCUGUUUUGCUGUGUGCAGAUGGAGGCAGUGGCUGGAGUGAAUGAACGGCAACACUUGCUGGCAACCGGCAGAAGCUGAGAGACAGGGAACAGGCUCUCCUCCAGAGCCUCCAGGAGCCAGGCCUUUGGACAACUUGAAUGUGGGCUUCUGGGAGACCAUGCGUUUCUGUUAUAAGCAGCCCAGUCUCUGGCAGUUUUUACGGCUGCCCCGGAACACUCAUCUAUACCUGUCUGACAAGGUCAAGCUCCAAGGAAGGGACUCUCUACAUAUCUACAUUGUUUGCAGAUUUUACAAUAAUCAUUUAUUCUUGCAUGGCUGAUCAUUGUUAACCAAUACAAAUAAAAUAAUAAAGAAAUGACCCAC
RNAcentral lists this long non-coding RNA (2592 nucleotides) under Homo sapiens (human). RNAcentral describes it as "non-protein coding FAM230B:11". The record is from RNAcentral. Lineage: Eukaryota; Metazoa; Chordata; Mammalia; Primates; Hominidae.